RNAcentral lists this transfer RNA (82 nucleotides) under Arabidopsis suecica. RNAcentral describes it as "tRNA-Tyr". It matches the Rfam family "tRNA". From Rfam's summary of the family: Transfer RNA (tRNA) molecules are approximately 80 nucleotides in length. RNAcentral also lists the same sequence under 6 other names. The record is from RNAcentral. Lineage: Eukaryota; Viridiplantae; Streptophyta; Magnoliopsida; Brassicales; Brassicaceae.
GGUGGGAUUCCCGAGCGGCUAAAGGGAGCAGACUGUAAAUCUGCCGUCAUCGACUUCGAAGGUUCGAAUCCUUCUCCCACCA